GCGUGGGAACCUGCCCUUUAGUAGAGAAUAACUCGGGGAAACCCGAGCUAAUACUUUACACGCCCUUCGGGGGAAAGCUUUAUGCGCUAUUGGAUGGGCCCGCGUUAGAUUAGUUUGUUGGUGAGGUAACGGCUCACCAAGGCUACGAUCUAUAGCCGGUCUGAGAGGAUGAUCAGCCACACUGGGACUGAGACACGGCCCAGACUCCUACGGGAGGCAGCAGUGGGGAAUAUUGGACAAUGGGGGCAACCCUGAUCCAGCGAUGCCGCGUGAGUGAUGAAGGCCUUAGGGUUGUAAAGCUCUUUUGUCAGGGAAGAUAAUGACGGUACCUGAAGAAUAAGAUCCGGCUAACUCCGUGCCAGCAGCCGCGGUAAUACGGAGGGAUCUAGCGUUAUUCGGAAUUACUGGGCGUAAAGCGAGCGUAGGCUGAUUUGUAAGUUGGAUGUGAAAUCCCAGAGCUUAACUCUGGAACUGCAUC
This 478-nucleotide ribosomal RNA is filed under the name uncultured Alphaproteobacteria bacterium. RNAcentral describes it as "bacterial SSU rRNA". It matches the Rfam family "Bacterial small subunit ribosomal RNA", at positions 115 to 627 of the family's 1533-position model. Lineage: Bacteria; Pseudomonadati; Pseudomonadota; Alphaproteobacteria. The record is from RNAcentral.